Chrysemys picta bellii (western painted turtle) is the source of this 1470-nucleotide non-coding RNA. NCBI's taxonomy places the organism in Eukaryota, Metazoa, Chordata, Testudines, Emydidae. The record is from RefSeq and is a predicted model, not a curated record.
AGUGUGGUGCUCUACUCUUGUUCAAUGAUGAUAACAGUCGGCUGCGUGCGUGUUCCCUCUGAGUGCUGCCCCAGCUCUGCGCAGAUCGCUGACACAGCAGACCCCGAGAGAACCCCCAAUGACCGCACACUCUAGUAAAGUAUGAAGGAACCCGAGCCAGGUUUAUUGUCAAAGGAAACACAGUAAUAGUUUCCUAUAGACUCUACAGGACGAUCUACGAAUAUGUGCCCCCUGGCAAUGGACGCAGCUCAGUCAGUGGUGGGACUUUCCACUGCCCCCUAGGCUGGCCAAAAAUACAUACUCCGGCACCUACUUAUAUACAGUUACAGGACAAAUUACUCAUCUCUCCUGACGUAUUGAGGUACAGCCUCUUGGCUCAUUAGGGUGCUAUCUCCCCUUUGAUCAUAUUGUUCCAGACAUACAGAUCUAGCCAUCAUGCUGUCCUGUCUUUAAGAUGCACCUGCCUGUUCUUUGUUAUGUCUAUGGAGGGUCCUUGUAUCGGGCUAUGCAGGUGCCAUCUUGGCACAAGUUCCUCUUAUUAGCACUUAUAUGAUAAGCACCUGCUUCUAACAACCUUCUUCUUGCCAGUGUCUGUGAGCAGGGCCUGCUUCUGGCUCACAGCACAGCUUUUGCUUAGCAGUGCCUGGAAGUACUUUGGUUCAGGCUUCAGGCCUCAGACUAGGCCUCUGACACAAGAAUGUAUAUUUCAGGGCCUCAUCUUACUACACCCCCAUGACUGUUGGCCCCUUACUGAAACUUAGUGGGGGUGGAAGGGGUUGGUUGGCUUCUCCCAGUACCAAAAGACAGGAAGGGCUAAUGAGAAAAGAAAACCCUGAGGCAGGCAGGCCAAUGAGGGAGUCAGGUGCCAGUUCUCUGUGUGAGCUGGAGCUGCCUGCCAGAGAAGGGCAGAGGAGCAGCCUGAGCUGGGUUGGAGGCAGAGUUGCAGAAGCACUGAUGCUGAGGGUUGCUGAGUCUGGAGCAGUCUGGAGCUGGGUGUGGUGAGCAGCUGGGGAGAGCGAGGGGGGACACUGGGCAGCGUGGGAUGACAUCAUGUUUUCCAUUCCCCUUUCCCAUUUUUUACUUAUUUUUUUAUUACUUGCUGUUUAAUAAAUCGUAUUUCUUCUGAACUCUAUGCAAUGCUGAAUGGCGACAUCAGGGAUGCGUCCGGAGUGAAGAGAGCACCCCAGAGUGGGGAUACGACACCCUAGUCUCUGUCCUGAGUGAUCGCAACAAAAUUGGGGAUGCAGACCCCGCAGGAAUCUUGGGGCCAGCCUUGUCGGGGUUUCAGACACCAGAGUGGAAGGGGAGUCCUCGAGGUCAGGCAGGUCUCCAGGCUGACGAAUCACGUCCACGUUUUGGUCCAGAUGGGCCCGUCUUCCAGGACACAGGGAAGGGAAAUGUCUGUGAUGGAGCCGGCUCAGAUGCCGGUGACCUUCGAGGAGGUAGCUGUGUAUUUCACCCAGGGGCAGG